RNAcentral lists this ribosomal RNA (519 nucleotides) under uncultured Glomus. Its description in RNAcentral is "SSU rRNA". It matches the Rfam family "Eukaryotic small subunit ribosomal RNA", at positions 569 to 1092 of the family's 1831-position model. The record is from RNAcentral. Lineage: Eukaryota; Fungi; Glomeromycota; Glomeromycetes; Glomerales; Glomeraceae.
AGCAGCCGCGGUAAUUCCAGCUCCAAUAGCGUAUAUUAAAGUUGUUGCAGUUAAAAAGCUCGUAGUUGAAUUUCGGGGUUAGUAGGUUGGUCAUGCCUCCGGUAUGUACUGGUCUCACUGAUUCCUCCUUCCUGAUGAACCGUAAUGCCAUUAAUUUGGUGUUGCGGGGAAUUUGGACUGUUACUUUGAAAAAUUAGAGUGUUUAAAGCAAGCUAACGCUUGAAUACAUUAGCAUGGAAUAAUGAAAUAGGACGUUCGAUCCUAUUUUGUUGGUUUCUAGGAUUGACGUAAUGAUUAAUAGGGAUAGUUGGGGGCAUUAGUAUUCAAUUGUCAGAGGUGAAAUUCUUGGAUUUAUUGAAGACUAACUACUGCGAAAGCAUUUGCCAAGGAUGUUUUCAUUAAUCAAGACGAAAGUUAGGGGAUCGAAGACGAUCAGAUACCGUCGUAGUCUUAACCAUAAACUAUGCCGACUAGGGAUCGGAUGAUGUUAAUUUUUAAUGACUCAUUCGGCGCCUUACG